CCAUCCACUCCCAGCGGAUUCCCCGACUCCGAGACCGCAGUCUACCCGCGAGUCCCCACAAUGCAGAGCAGAGCAGCUGGGCUGAAUAAAACAGAGCCGGCGCUCUCCCUUCCUAAAGGCCUACGCUGCCCACCGGUCCGGGCUCGGAGCUCAGCAGAAACAGAUAAAGAGCGGCUAUUGCCGGCACCAAGGAUGGAGAGCGCUUGUGGCGCUGCUAACCCCGCGAACACCUGAGGAGUGGGCGCCCGUGCCGGAUGGGGGGUGCAGAGCCAGUGCGGCACAGCUGUCUCCUCUCAAGGGGACACCUGGCAGGAAUGUGCAGCGUGGAGCUAAGGAGAGCGGAUGGAAACCGAGGGAAGGGAAGAGAGCCCCAAGGCUUGGCCGGAAGGAGAGGUUAAAAAGGAACGGCCUAAAAUGAGGAGGAGAGUUACCACAACAGGCAGUACCUAGUUCCAGUUCUUGGUCCCAGGGGUUUGUGGUUGCUGCUGCUUUCAUCUUCCUCGGCCAAAACAGGGAAAGUGCCAGAGGGCGAUUCCGAGGACCUUCAGUGCAGUCUCCACCUCGCGGACUUGGCUUAUUUGUAUUCAGUCCUUUCUCUAACCUUUUACACUUGAUGCUCGUGGAUGAAUAGAAAGGAGCGCAAUUAAUGGAAAACACAAGCUUGGGAGUCAAGGGAUUUGGGUUCUAUUCUUGUCAUCCCUUGGUGACGACAUCAUCACCUUGAGUUAUUCACGCUUUCAGUGCCAGAGUUCCUAGAUUAAUAAAAUAUUAUUACAUUGACCUCUUAGAGAAAUGUUUUCAUGGUACUGAGUAUGAGUAGCCAUGUGUUA
Non-coding RNA from Saimiri boliviensis boliviensis (Bolivian squirrel monkey), 830 nucleotides. Lineage: Eukaryota; Metazoa; Chordata; Mammalia; Primates; Cebidae. The record is from RefSeq and is a predicted model, not a curated record.